RNAcentral lists this ribosomal RNA (318 nucleotides) under uncultured eukaryote. RNAcentral's name for it is "partial 18S ribosomal RNA". It matches the Rfam family "Eukaryotic small subunit ribosomal RNA", at positions 1470 to 1796 of the family's 1831-position model. The record is from RNAcentral.
CCCUUAGAUGUUCUGGGCCGCACGCGCGCUACACUGACUACUUCAACGAGUUGUUUCCUUGAUCGAAAGGUCUGGGUAAUCUUUGAAAGGUAGUCGUGAUGGGGAUAGAUCCUUGCAAUUUUUGAUCUUCAACGAGGAAUUCCUAGUAAACGCAAGGCAUCAGCUUGUGCUGAUUACGUCCCUGCCCUUUGUACACACCGCCCGUCGCUCCUACCGAUUGGGUGCUCCGGUGAAUUGUUUGGACUGCUGUCAGUCUUUUUGGCUGUCGGCGAGAAGCUCUGUGAACCUUAGCACCUAGAGGAAGGAGAAGUCGUAACA